This 464-nucleotide ribosomal RNA is filed under the name uncultured bacterium. Its description in RNAcentral is "partial 16S ribosomal RNA". It matches the Rfam family "Bacterial small subunit ribosomal RNA", at positions 339 to 795 of the family's 1533-position model. The record is from RNAcentral.
CUACGGGGUGCUGCAGUGGGGAAUAUUGCACAAUGGGCGCAAGCCUGAUGCAGCCAUGCCGCGUGUAUGAAGAAGGCCUUCGGGUUGUAAAGUACUUUCAGCGGGGAGGAAGGGAGUAAAGUUAAUACCUUUGCUCAUUGACGUUACCCGCAAAAGAAGCACCGGCUAACUCCGUGCCAGUAGCCGCGGUAAUACGGAGGGUGCAAGCGUUAAUCGGAAUUACUGGGCGUAAAGCGCACGCAGGCGGUUUGUUAAGUCAGAUGUGAAAUCCCCGGGCUCAACCUGGGAACUGCAUCUGAUACUGGCAAGCUUGAGUCUCGUAGAGGGGGGUAGAAUUCCAGGUGUAGCGGUGAAAUGCGUAGAGAUCUGGAGGAAUACCGGUGGCGAAGGCGGCCCCCUGGACGAAGACUGACGCUCAGGUGCGAAAGCGUGGGGAGCAAACAGGAUUAGAUACCCUUGUAGUC